CGCGUAGGCGGUCUCUUAAGUCAGAUGUGAAAGCCCUCGGCUUAACCGAGGAAGUGCAUUUGAUACUAGGAGACUUGAGUAUGGGAGAGGGAAGCGGAAUUCCUGGUGUAGCGGUGAAAUGCGUAGAUAUCAGGAGGAACACCGGUGGCGAAGGCGGCUUCCUGGACCAAUACUGACGCUGAGGCGCGAAGGCGUGGGGAGCAAACA
Molecule: ribosomal RNA, 207 nt
Filed under: uncultured delta proteobacterium
Lineage: Bacteria; Deltaproteobacteria
Description: partial 16S ribosomal RNA
Rfam family: Bacterial small subunit ribosomal RNA
Source: RNAcentral